CGGUUCCCCCGGGGCGCCGGAAAGCCCGGGGGGGCUUGGAGCGCCGUACCCACACGCCUCUCGCCAGCUCUCCCAGUGCGGGCGGAGGCGCCAGAUUUAAGAGUAAAAGGCGCCGUAAGCGGGAGAGGAGCGAGCCCAGGGCGGAGGCGAGACCGGAGGGCACCGGAGCCAGCCGGGGUGCGAGCUGCCCGGGGCUUCCCAGCCUCAUUCUCCCCGGAGCUGGUGUCAGCAUGGCCCUCGAGAGGCUCGGGGAAGCGCUGCGCGGCAUCCCCCCGUUGCAAAGCUCCCUCCUGCUCCUCCUCUGCCUCCUCGCAGCCAUCCACCUGGGCAAGCUCCUCCUGCAGCAUCAGCAGCGCCGGCGGCAGGGCCAGCGCCAGGCGCCGCCGGGCCCUUUCCCCUGGCCCCUGAUCGGCAACGCGGCGCAGCUGGGCA
This 432-nucleotide long non-coding RNA is filed under the name Serinus canaria (Common canary). RNAcentral describes it as "lncRNA (ENSSCAG00000011817.1)". Lineage: Eukaryota; Metazoa; Chordata; Aves; Passeriformes; Fringillidae. The record is from RNAcentral.